CCUUUGCGAGCUUUGUUCCAGCACAAGCCAGGGGUCAUAUCAAAGGAUACCCCUUUGAUAUCAAAGCCCCCCCACCUAGCAGAAAACCCCCAGCUCCUUCCUUGGGAAAGGUGAAGACUGAGCACCAGGGCUGCUGGCUGUUCCUAGCCAGGCUUGCUGCCUGCCUCAGGAUUGACAGCGAUUAAACAGUCAUUAAACCCACACAAGCAGAGCGAAGGCCAAACAAAUCCCACCACCCAUGCAGAUGGGAGAGAAAACACAGCUGGAAACCCGAUCAGAACCUUUCAGGGAGGUGUACAGGCUUUCCUGCCAAGGCUGGACGGUUUUAGCUGGGAAUGCUGCCUCCCUUCCUCCCUCCCAGCUGCCCCGUUUCCGGCACAUGGCCGGCUCCACUCCCCCAUCCUCAGAGCCCUCCUGCGGCAUCAAACCCCCGUCUCCAGCCCAGGGCUUCUCCCUUCCCCUCACUGAAGCCCGGGUGGCUGUUGGCAGGGGCCAGCCCAGCUCGGAGCAGGCAAGCAGAGCACAUCCCGCAAAAGCAGCGCAGGAGAUCUUUGCGGAAGAGAUCGCAGGGAGAGCUGCGUGGGGACACACUCCCGAGCCGGCUGGCAUGGCAGCCCCCGGCCUCCAUCCCAGGCAGCUGCAAGGCGGCGGACACUCACCUUGACCAGAGAAGGAGAAGCCAAGAAAGCAGCCCCAGAGCAUGUCAGCACCCAGAAAUCCCCUGGCACCGAGCACAGGAAGGUUCCCUGCUGCAAGUGGGUCACAUCACCCGUAACACAGCCUGGGAGAGCCGAGCGCCAGCACAGGCACAGCGAGCAGCAAUUCAGAUCAAGACACAGCAAGGUGAAAACAGCUUCUGCAAGGUCAGAUGGAGAGGAAAACCUUUAGAAACUGUGCUGCUGGUUUUCCUUCCUCCCUCUCAGCAUACCCCAGAAUGAGUUAGCAGGGCUAAGAGCAGCCCUGGCUCCUGGCAAGCCCCAUGCAAGUCCUGCUCAGGGGGAACAUCAUCCUUAGGAAAGAACAUGAUGUGCCCUGUGCUUUCAGAGAAAAACAUUUAUUCCCAGACUUACUCGAUGUCCUGCAAGCCAGAGGGACAGGACAAUGGCAGGCUC
This 1112-nucleotide long non-coding RNA is filed under the name Athene cunicularia (burrowing owl). RNAcentral describes it as "lncRNA (ENSACUG00000003633.1)". The record is from RNAcentral. Lineage: Eukaryota; Metazoa; Chordata; Aves; Strigiformes; Strigidae.